This 21-nucleotide non-coding RNA is filed under the name Caenorhabditis elegans. Lineage: Eukaryota; Metazoa; Nematoda; Chromadorea; Rhabditida; Rhabditidae. The record is from RNAcentral.
UACGCAUCUUGUCUAUUCUGA